GCUGGUCAUUGCUCGUUUAAGGAGAACUGUCACUUCACUGGGAAUGACAUAAGUCAAUAAAACAUAGAAAAUCACCUAUAAUAUGUUGUAACUAGAGUUGACCGUAUCAAACAUUAAGAGUUUUGGACCCUGGACCCAAACAUGGACAUAUCACUGUAUGUUGGAGUUCGGUGUUCGGCGAUUUAAUGGCGUGUUUUGAAAGGCUGCAGGGUAGCCAAUCAACAAGCGUUUGACUCGUGUGCCCUUAGAAGCCAUCACAUGCAUGCCUACUAAUGGCAU
Molecule: non-coding RNA, 279 nt
Organism: Pelobates cultripes (western spadefoot toad)
Lineage: Eukaryota; Metazoa; Chordata; Amphibia; Anura; Pelobatidae
Source: the annotation of a GenBank genome assembly